UCUUAGUUCGGAUUGAAGUCUGCAACUCGACUUCAUGAAGUUGGAAUCGCUAGUAAUCGCGAAUCAGCAUGUCGCGGUGAAUACGUUCUCGGGGUUUGUACACACCGCCCGUCAAACCACGAAAGUGGACAAUACCCGAAAGCGAUAGCCUAACUGCGCAAGCAGAGGGAAUCGUCUAAGGUAGGGUCGAUGAUUGGGGUUAAGUCGUAACAAGGUAUCCCUACCGGAAGGUGGGGAUGGAUCACCUCCUUUCU
RNAcentral lists this ribosomal RNA (254 nucleotides) under Texas Phoenix palm phytoplasma. RNAcentral describes it as "partial 16S ribosomal RNA". It matches the Rfam family "Bacterial small subunit ribosomal RNA", at positions 1286 to 1533 of the family's 1533-position model. The record is from RNAcentral. Lineage: Bacteria; Bacillati; Mycoplasmatota; Mollicutes; Acholeplasmatales; Acholeplasmataceae.